This 386-nucleotide ribosomal RNA is filed under the name uncultured bacterium. RNAcentral's name for it is "bacterial SSU rRNA". It matches the Rfam family "Bacterial small subunit ribosomal RNA", at positions 28 to 407 of the family's 1533-position model. The record is from RNAcentral.
AUUGAACGCUGGCGGCAUGCUUUACACAUGCAAGUCGAGCGGCAGCGCGGGACUCAGGCAACUGAGCCCUGGCGGCGAGCGGCGAACGGGUGAGUAAUGCAUCGGAACGUGUCCCGUAGUGGGGGAUAACGCCGCGAAAGCGGCGCUAAUACCGCAUAUGCUCUACGGAGGAAAGUGGGGGACCUGCAAGGGCCUCACGCUAUGGGAGCGGCCGAGUCCGAUUAGCUAGUUGGUGGGGUAAUGGCCUACCAAGGCGACGAUCGGUAGCUGGUCUGAGAGGAUGAUCAGCCACACUGGGACUGAGACACGGCCCAGACUCCUACGGGAGGCAGCAGUGGGAAUUUUGGACAAUGGGGCAACCCUGAUCCAGCCAUGCCGCGUGCGGG